CCGCCGGUGACGUUGUGAGAAGUUCAUUAAACCUUAUCAUUUAGAGGAAGGAGAAGUCGUAACAAGGUUUCCGUAGGUGAACCUGCGGAAGGAUCAUUG
This 99-nucleotide ribosomal RNA is filed under the name Cephalozia bicuspidata. RNAcentral's name for it is "partial 18S ribosomal RNA". It matches the Rfam family "Eukaryotic small subunit ribosomal RNA", at positions 1733 to 1831 of the family's 1831-position model. The record is from RNAcentral. Lineage: Eukaryota; Viridiplantae; Streptophyta; Jungermanniopsida; Jungermanniales; Cephaloziaceae. RNAcentral also lists the same sequence under 1 other name.